UUGCUCCAAGAGAUACGCACGAAGCACAGGUCCAGUUUGCGCUGGAACGUGGAGUUCCAGCAAUGAUUGGAAUUAUGGGGUCACAGAGGCUUCCAUACCCCGCUAGGGCUUUUGACUUGGCUCAUUGUUCUCGCUGCUUGAUCCCUUGGCAAAAAUAUGGUAAGGCAUCUGCAUGUCUUUUUUAAAAAAUGAGAUUAACUCUGUUAGGAAGGUGCAAUGACCGUUUUACUACCCUCUAUCUCUUUGCUCUAUAGGUUGAAAAGUUGUGUAUAAGCUAAUGGUUUUAUUUAAUCGGUAUAGAUGGUUUGUACCUCGCUGAAGUGGACCGGAUUCUACGGCCUGGUGGUUAUUGGGUUCUUUCCGGUCCCCCUAUUCACUGGAAGAAGUUCUGGAGAGGCUGGGAAAGGACACGGGAGGACUUAAAACAAGAGCAAGAUGCUAUUGAAGAUGUUGCCAAAAGCCUAUGCUGGAAGAAAGUGAUUGAAAAGAAUGAUCUAUCGGUUUGGCAAAAACCCAUUAACCACGUUGAGUGCUUCAGAAGUAAGAAGGUCUUGAAAGCACCGCACAUGUGCGAGUCAGAUGAUCCAGACACAGCUUGGUACUCUCAUUGGUGUCCUUCAUGUUCUUGUUUCCUCCUUGAUACAUACUCUGAUAUUCAUAUUGUCCACUGUGGUCUCAUUUUCCUUUUGUCAUUUGUGCUAAAAAGGUACCGGAAUUUGGAAGCUUGUGUAACUCCACUUCCUGAAGUAAGCAGCUCAGAUGAUGUUGCUGGUGGGGCAAUAGAAAAAUGGCCAGAGCGAGCAUACGCUGUUCCUCCUAGAAUUAGGAGUGGCUCAACACCAGGCAUCACAGCUGAGAGAUUCGUAGAGGAUAAUAAACUUUGGAAGGAAAGAGUAGCACAUUACAAACGAAUCAUUAGUCCACUUCCCACUGGACGAUAUCGGAAUAUUAUGGACAUGAAUGCUUACCUUGGGGGAUUUGCAGCAGCUAUGUUAAAUUAUCCAGUUUGGGUCAUGAAUGUGGUUCCUAUAAAUUCAAAUCAUGACACUUUGGGAGUUAUUUAUGAAC
Molecule: long non-coding RNA, 1068 nt
Filed under: Gossypium barbadense (sea-island cotton)
Lineage: Eukaryota; Viridiplantae; Streptophyta; Magnoliopsida; Malvales; Malvaceae
Description: long non-coding RNA (GBAR_LNC014966)
Source: RNAcentral